This 76-nucleotide transfer RNA is filed under the name Lentisphaerota bacterium. RNAcentral describes it as "Lentisphaerae bacterium tRNA-Lys". It matches the Rfam family "tRNA". Rfam says of the family: Transfer RNA (tRNA) molecules are approximately 80 nucleotides in length. Their secondary structure includes four short double-helical elements and three loops (D, anti-codon, and T loops). The record is from RNAcentral. Lineage: Bacteria; Pseudomonadati; Lentisphaerota.
GGGGCGAUAGCUCAGGUGGUAGAGCAACGGCCUUUUAAGCCGUGGGUCCUGGGUUCGAAUCCCAGUCGUCCCACCA